UGCCCACCAAAUCCUAUCCCUACCUUCUCGUGGUACUGGCCGGAGUACGUGUAACCUUAGGGAAGAUCGGGUAACCAAACCCGGUGGGAACUUUGGUCGUAUGCUGACAGGGAAGA
Molecule: ribozyme, 116 nt
Filed under: Aedes aegypti (yellow fever mosquito)
Lineage: Eukaryota; Metazoa; Arthropoda; Insecta; Diptera; Culicidae
Description: drz-agam-1 ribozyme
Rfam family: drz-agam-1 ribozyme
Source: Rfam by way of RNAcentral